ACCCAGACUCCUACGGGAGGCAGCAGUGAGGAAUAUUGGUCAAUGGGCGCGAGCCUGAACCAGCCAAGUAGCGUGAAGGAUGACUGCCCUACGGGUUGUAAACUUCUUUUAUAAAGGAAUAAAGUGAGGCACGUGUGCCUUUUUGUAUGUACUUUAUGAAUAAGGAUCGGCUAACUCCGUGCCAGCAGCCGCGGUAAUACGGAGGAUGCGAGCGUUAUCCGGAUUUAUUGGGUUUAAAGGGUGCGCAGGCGGAAUGUCAAGUCAGCGGUAAAAUUUCGGGGCUCAACCCCGUCGUGCCGUUGAAACUGGCGUCCUUGAGUGAGCGAGAAGUAUGCGGAAUGCGUGGUGUAGCGGUGAAAUGCAUAGAUAUCACGCAGAACUCCGAUUGCGAAGGCAGCAUACCGGCGCUCAACUGACGCUCAUGCACGAAAGCGUGGGUAUCGAACAGGAUUAGAUACCCUUGUAA
RNAcentral lists this ribosomal RNA (466 nucleotides) under uncultured bacterium. RNAcentral describes it as "bacterial SSU rRNA". It matches the Rfam family "Bacterial small subunit ribosomal RNA", at positions 329 to 793 of the family's 1533-position model. The record is from RNAcentral.